Molecule: RNA transcript, 5100 nt
Organism: Argiope bruennichi
Lineage: Eukaryota; Metazoa; Arthropoda; Arachnida; Araneae; Araneidae
Exons: 4
Source: RefSeq, a predicted model, not a curated record
GUGAGUUGUGGUUUUAGGGGUGACGGUGUGGGUUGUGUAUGUGUGAGUUGUGGCAUUUGCGUACUGUGCAAGGAUUUGAUACUUCUAAUCAUUUGGGGUGGCUUAGUUUCACCUUCGUGGCCAAUAUUUUAAUAGGAAUUAGGAAUAUAAUAUAAUAUAAGCGGCGAGUUUAAAACGUUUUGAAGUAAGAAAAUUAUUGAAAAAUGUUUAGGAAAUUGAAGUGAACGAGGUUUAAUAUGUAAGAAUUUAAUUCGUAAUUUUAAAUUAUUUUGUAUUUAAAUCCCAUCAAUAGGUAGUUAUAUUUUUUCGGAUGGAUACAUUACUAAAUAUUCAUGCUGAGUUUCUCCCUCCCUUGAAUCUCAAACCAGAGGAAACAUAGAACAAUUAAUUAAUAGAUAAUCUUUAAUAAGUAACUCUUUGCUUAAGUCAGCAAUUAUAACUUGUAAUGACUUUAAUCAAUAACUGAAGUAUCUCCUUUAUAGUAAGGGGAAAAAAAUUGGCGGAUACCAUAUUAAUGCAAACUUUCCAAUGAGCAGAGUAGAUUAAAAUUCAUAUUAAGAUUAAAUUUGAUAUUUCAGUGACAUAAAUCCCGGAAAACCCAAAGUUUUGCUAUGACGGAAUCCGAUAAAAAGAAAAAUUUAUACUCGUAAUUAUACUUAAAUUAAAAUAUUAAUUUAAUAGAACUUUUAAAAUAUCCAAUUUCUCUGAAUAAUAUUCAUUUAUUCUCAUUUAGGGGGGAUUGGAGUGAGUGACGGCUUAUUGGGAAUCAAUAUCUCAAUGUAAUUAAAAGCUGCCAUUUUCUUUCAAAUUCCAAUUAGCUGUUUUUGCCAUCAAAAGCAGUAUUAGCUCCGUAUCUGAGGCUCAAUUAUUUGACAUUUCGUACUUGAAACGAACUUUUUCUCCCGGUUUUGGAAUUAAAAUCUCCAAUCUGCCUCGUUCUUUUUUGGCUUUCUGUACAUUAACUAUUCCUCUAGUUGAUGUAACAAUUUGGAAUCUCAUUAAAAAUACCUAGUUCAAUUCGGUGUCUAAUAUUUAUACAUCCUAAUGUGAUACAUAUAAUUUUUACUGAAUAAAGAAGACGAAUUCUUACUCUUCAGUUAUCUAGAAAUAACUUAGUUUGUUCUAUAUCGCAAUUCGGAAAUGGAAGUUUGAAUAGCUUCAUGUGAAGGAAUUGCAAUUGUCUUCGAAUCAAAAUGAAUGAAUUAAAGGCAGUAAUCGGUUAGAAUAAGGCUAGGAAAAACCUUUCAGAAAUAGAAUUGAAUUAAGCUACUAAGCAUUUGAGAUAAAAAAAAAUCGUACUAAAUUAAGCUAUUUUGAACUUACUUGAAAUUAUUCAGAUAAAUUUCGUAUUGCAUUUUAUACUUAAGUAUAUAAAAAAAUUAUCUUCAUAACACUUAAAAAUAUGAAAUGAGUUAAGGCAAAGAUGUUUUUUCUGAAAUCAAAUUUGUUUAUUGUAAAGAAAAACAAAAGAGGAAUAAUCUCUGUAGUCCAUUCCCUUUUAAAAUUUAAAAAUUACUAACAGUUGCCCGCUCAAAUGUUUUUAUCUAUUGGAAACUUUCUAAAAUGCAUUAAAAUCUGCACAUUUAAUGUGGAAGAAAUAUUCAUAAUCUUUGAAUAUUCCACUCGAGUAGUUUCUAAGCGACGAAAAUGCUAUAAUCAUGUGGAUUUUACAUGGUACAGUCUAAUAUGACAGAGGAAACAGUGGCAGUUGCUCUCUUGUGCCCUCUUCUAUAAAUGAACAGAAUGUUUAAUGCAAAUUUGACAAGUCUUUUGUGUAAGACUAUCCAGUGGGAAACGUUUAAAUCAAAUAUCUGUAAUACUAGAAAGUUUCUGUUGAAUUCACUGGCCUUUUCACUCAUCAGUGAAAUACGUCAUAGAAGUCAUCAAUUUAACAAAAUCGCCUGCCGUUGUUGGAGCUGUUCACUGCAAAGAACACUUUUUAUGCUGUUCGCUUGAAACAGUGGCCAACUCCUGUAAGCAAAGCGACCGCCUUUUCUCUUGACGAAAAUAUGGAUGGCAGCUAUCUGGAUGGCCACGAAAUUUUUUCUUUCGUACAGAAGUAAUAUCGGCAUUGACAGACAGUACAACAUGGCCUAUAUCCAUGUCAUUUUGCUUGAUAAAGGCACUACGUCAACCACCAGUAGUGUUGCUUUCUGUUCCAUGCACUUGAUUGUCCACCCCAAAUAUGCUGGAUGCGAGGAAGUAUUCCUUACAGGUGAUGUUGAAGGUGAUGAGACAAUUCAAGGGCGCAGUAAGUUCGCUAUUUAUAUUAACAAAACGGCAUGGAAUUUGAAAACCAUUAAUUGGUUCAUCUAGAAAUUAAAUUACUGGAGGCUGCAAAGAGAUGCGAAACAUAAUUAUCUUAAAAUAUUUAUUGAAACAGAUGCAGCCCUAUUGGCUACUAACCAUAAUGAAUUACCGGAAUUCAAACGCCUGUCAUACGCGUUUCUGAGUAUAGGAUUCAAAGUAAUUGAACGUCUUAGAAUGGAAUCACCCAGUGACCCUCGUUAUGAGGGAAAUACUCCAUGGCCAGGAACCGUUUGAAACUAGAUUCCAGCAUCUACGCAGGACAAAAAUGCUUCUAGGUAAUUCUGUUGUCUCUGCAUGGCUUGUGGUAAACUUUCUAGAAUGACCAAAUUUAUUAAGUUAAAUGAAUGCCCUUUCAGUUCCAGCCAUAAAGUAUCUACAUAUGUGUAGUAGGUAUCUAGAUGUCCUGGAAAGAACGUCAUUGAAGUAAUAUCGGUAUUCUUCUGUCAGACAACUCAUGGCCGUUGAUGCUACUUUUCCGGUUAAAAAGUAUGUCAUCACCAUCGAUAAUACGCUUUUCAAGGUCCAAAAACGUCUUCACUAGAAAGCAGUUCUUUAUACGGGGAGGAUAUUCCCUUCAGAUGAGUUCGAAGUACAUGGAAUUCAAAGGCAUGAUCUAAUCUAUUCCGAUUCAGAUGUUGACUUGUUUUGUUCGAAGUGAUCCUGCCACAACAUGCAGUAUCUGAAGCUUCUAUCAAGUGCAAACUAGAAUUCGGAGCCACUACAGUUAAAAUGUUGAUUUCCGGACAAAUGUAGUUGGUUAGUAAAAUUAUAAAUGUUACACCAAAUCCAAAAUGUAUAUUUUCUAUCAAAAAUCAUCAGUUUGCAUAGUGGUGAAAUUGUGAUUACUAAUGUAAUGGCAAAUUAUUUGAAAAUAUCAAUAUAUCUUUGAAGUAUUUCAUGAUCCCAUUUUAAGGCUAUGACAAUGAAUCUUACAUUUUUGGGGAUAUUUUUUUAAAAUUGGGAAAGCUUGAAGUGCAUGUAAUUAUCAUUCCAAACAAAUGUUUGGCAUAUCAAUCGAUAUUUCAUCUAAAUUGUUUGAAAUUUUCAUAUAUCUACUUAAAACGACUAAAAUAUUGGUUUGCAUUCAUUUUCUUUAAACGUAGUGCUUGCUUUGUACUUUGAGAAACAAGCUAUUCUGAGACAAUCGAUAUCGAUAAACAUGUUUCAUGUAGAUAAAUUAAAAUGUAAUAGAUGAUUUCUAGGAAAAUCAAAUAAGUCAAAUUUCCAACAAAACUAAAAAUUUACUGCCACAGAACGAAUUUUUGAAAUAAAAAUUUGCAUAUGCAUUCCUCUCUUAUUGUCAACGGAUAAUCCAUCUUUAUGUUAUGAGGUGAUUUGUUACGAUUGCUUUUCAUCACCGCUUACUGUAACACAAUUUGAAAAAUUGAAUUUUAUUGUUAUGAAACGAUUCAUUGUAGUUUCUUCACAUCAGCAUAAGGGCUUGUAAUAUACUUCUCAAUUUAUCUACAAUUUUAUAAAAAUGGUAGUCAUUUGUUUUUAUUUUGUACUGAAUGUUAAUGAUCUCGUAACUAAUUUCAUUAUUGUCGAUUUCUAGAAAGUAACUUAAUAUUAUAAUGAUGAUGAUGAAAUAAGUGAUCAAAUAUCUGAAUAUAUUUGCUAUAAUUAUCUGUGUAUAGUUCUAAUAUGAAGGGAUUUUGCAACUCGUAAUUAUCUGAACAUUCUUUUUUGAAAUACUGGUCUUAAUUAGGGAAAAAUGUUUUAUGCUAAUUUUCGGUAGUUGGCCCCGAAAUCUCUGAAAAUAUUUUAAAUAUAUAUUGCUAAGCUGCAACUUGGAGUUUUUGCACAUGAAAUGGUUCUAUGCUUUGAAAAUUAUAUUUUAUGCUUGAAUUUUAAAUUUGUUUGAUGGUUGGAACUGUAAUUUUAAAAUAGUUUUUUUUCUUUUUUUUUUGCUCCUCGUUAAGUUUUACAUCCGAAAAUGACAUAAAAUUUAUAGUAUUAAUGAUUCCUAAAUCCAAAUUUAAUAGUACAUGGUAUCGAUACUCAUUAAUUUAAAUUUAAAUUUAACUUUAAUAUUUCUGAAAUUUUACCGUAGUUUGAGAAGGUAUAUUAAAAUUAAUCAUCUAUUCGUUGCAUCCAUUUGCAGCUGCGUUUUAAUUCAAGAUUUUAUUCUUGUUAACUAUUACUAGCUUAUUUUUUUAAAAUGUAUUUAUAGUAAGAUGAAUAGUAAAUUUAAAAUACUAAAUCUUGAGUCCUAUAUACCUUAAUUCGGUUUUUAAUUUUGAUGCAAAUGUGUACAUCCGCUGAUAAAGGAUACUUUGAUUGGUUCGGCCGGCCAGCCAAUCAAAGUAUCCUUUGAUUCUUAGAAAGCAUUUGAUCACUGUGUCUGAUCACCAUGGUGAUCAAUAUGCCUAUAGGAAAAAAUGACGCUUUUUCAUGAUUAGAAGGAAUUUAAAUUUCUAAAUCUAACCUAAUGCAAUAAAAUAUCGGAUUUCUUGAGAAAAAGCGAAUGGAUGCGACGAAUGUUAUAGUACUGUCUUUUUUUUUCCUUCAGUAAUACGAGACUUUGACUUUUAAAAAAACAAUAGAUCUUCUAAAAACAUUUUUAAAUUAUUUAAUAAAAUAUCAAAUUGUCACUUUUUAAUGUGUAAUAGAAAUCAGAAUAAGUUUUAUGAAUUUCCACUGAAAUUAAUUCUAUCCGUAUACAAUAAAUUAUGUUAAUUUUCUUUAAUUUUGUUUUAAGAAUCGGUGCUUCCAUUAAAUUUUUAAACUCAAGUAUAUCAAUUUUAUGUUAAAUCAAUGCUUUAAAAUCAAUCACUUUAAAAACUGACU